This 108-nucleotide small nuclear RNA is filed under the name Marmota monax (woodchuck). Its description in RNAcentral is "U2 spliceosomal RNA". It matches the Rfam family "U2 spliceosomal RNA". From Rfam's summary of the family: U2 is a small nuclear RNA (snRNA) component of the spliceosome (involved in pre-mRNA splicing). The record is from Rfam by way of RNAcentral. Lineage: Eukaryota; Metazoa; Chordata; Mammalia; Rodentia; Sciuridae.
AUCGCUUCUCGGCCUUUUGGCUAAGAUCAAGUGUAGCUAUCUUCUCUAAUCCAUCCAUUUACCUGCAAAUGUCAUGAUUUUAUUCUCUUCUAUUGCUGAGUAAUAUUC